GAUCCUGGCUCAGGAUGAACGCUAGCUACAGGCUUAACACAUGCAAGUCGAGGGAAACGAUAUUGGAAGCUUGCUUCUGAUAGGCGUCGACCGGCGCACGGGUGAGUAACGCGUAUCCAACCUGCCCACCACUUGGGGAUAACCUUGCGAAAGUAAGACUAAUACCCAAUGACGUCCCUAGAAGACAUCUGAAAGAGAUUAAAGAUUUAUCGGUGAUGGAUGGGGAUGCGUCUGAUUAGCUUGUUGGCGGGGUAACGGCCCACCAAGGCGACGAUCAGUAGGGGUUCUGAGAGGAAGGUCCCCCACAUUGGAACUGAGACACGGUCCAAACUCCUACGGGAGGCAGCAGUGAGGAAUAUUGGUCAAUGGGCGAGAGCCUGAACCAGCCAAGUAGCGUGCAGGAUGACGGCCCUAUGGGUUGUAAACUGCUUUUAUAAGGGAAUAAAGUGGGAGUCGUGACUCUUUUUGCAUGUACCUUAUGAAUAAGGACCGGCUAAUUCCGUG
Molecule: ribosomal RNA, 504 nt
Filed under: uncultured bacterium
Lineage: Bacteria
Description: bacterial SSU rRNA
Rfam family: Bacterial small subunit ribosomal RNA
Source: RNAcentral